UAUUGUUUAGUUAAGGGUAAAGCAUCUGCCUGAAAUGCAGGAGACCCGGGAUCGAUCCCUGGGUCAGGAA
This 70-nucleotide transfer RNA is filed under the name Bos taurus (domestic cattle). It matches the Rfam family "tRNA". Rfam says of the family: Transfer RNA (tRNA) molecules are approximately 80 nucleotides in length. Their secondary structure includes four short double-helical elements and three loops (D, anti-codon, and T loops). Lineage: Eukaryota; Metazoa; Chordata; Mammalia; Artiodactyla; Bovidae. The record is from Rfam by way of RNAcentral.